UCGGCAUCUGCCGCGGCGUCGUACUUCUUUACGUNNNNNNNNNNUCGGACCCGGGGGCGGUACCCGGCGCCUCCACCAAAAACCGCUCUUGUUGAAGAGCGGCUUUUGCUGGGGGCGAAAUAGGAUCGACGAAGGUGUAAAGAUCGUACUUUUGCCCGGCAUUGUACCACCGUUAUCGGGCUAAACUUAUAGUUGCCAACGACAACUAUGCGGAAGCACGUCUCGCCGCGUAAGCGGUGCGAUAGCUUCAAUUCAAGCCCUAGUGGUUCG
This 270-nucleotide transfer-messenger RNA is filed under the name Mesorhizobium sp. It matches the Rfam family "Alphaproteobacteria transfer-messenger RNA", at positions 40 to 308 of the family's 355-position model. Rfam says of the family: Bacterial tmRNA, also known as 10Sa RNA or SsrA, is named for its dual tRNA and mRNA-like properties. Lineage: Bacteria; Pseudomonadati; Pseudomonadota; Alphaproteobacteria; Hyphomicrobiales; Phyllobacteriaceae. The record is from RNAcentral.